AGUGCUGAGGUUUACCCUAGCCUUUAGUAUUUAAAAAAACAGGAGAGAAAAAUGUAUUGAUAUUCCCUUUGCUACCAUAUGUCUUUGCUUCCUAUUAAAGUAAAGCUUUCCACAAAAGCAUGUAUAUGUACUUCUUUUCUCCACUGCUUUUUUUCCAUUUUGUGGUGAUAGUUCUGAUAAAUAUCUAUUGUUAAAACCAAUAAUUUAUUUUACAUUGUCAAAUAUAACGGUAAAAUCUAAGUUAUCAUUUUUCUCAUUUAUCAAAAUUAUUUGCAUUGUUCUUGAAACACUAACUUUCCUUGGCCUUUGUGACACCAACUUUUCUUCCAUUUUCCUCUGACUUGACUGGUUUGUCUUCCCUGCCUUUUUGCUGGUUUCUCAUUCUCUUUAAUCUCUAAAUUUUAGAGUAUUUUGGAUCUCAGUUAUGGGGCCUCUUCUUUCUUAUAUCUAUAUACCAAUUUUACAUCAACUCAUAUUGUUUCAUGACUUUAAAUCCUGCAUGUCUUCUUGAUUCCAAGAAAAUUAUCUUUAGCCCAGAUGAUUUCACUGACCUACAGCCCCAUAUCUAAGACACUGUGUAAUUUACUGUUCAAAUUAGAACACUUCUGAAAUAUGAGAGUAAUGAUUUUGUGACAGCAUUUUUAAACUAGGACUGAUACUGUCUAAACAGUUUUAGAUGAUCCCACAUUUAUAUCCAAUUGCUUACUCGCCAAAUACAUUUAGAUUUUAUGACAAAGAUGGUUAGUUAUCAACAAAUAAUCCAUUUUUGCUUUCUUCUCCAGUGAUAGAACACUGGAUAUUUAGCUGAACACAUAACUUCGUAGAUAAGGACUCACUAUUCCACUGCCUCCUGCAGUUGAGUAUGAUAAGGUGGCUAAGUUUGGAACACUAAAUUAUAAAGUAAAUCCAUAUGUGUAGCUUCUAGGAAAUGACUUAAAUGGAGUGAAUAUGUCCUUCUUUUAUGAGUAGUUUGACCCUGAAUGCAUCUAGCAGACAGUUCUUCCAGGUAGAGACACAUCCAGAAACCCUAGGUUAGGAGUAUGCUUGUUCUAGGAAAAGUAAGGAAGCUAGUGAAGUAGGAAUUGGAUGUUUUGGGGGAGAGCAUGGAGAUGAGGUCUGAGAGGUAAUGGAGCCAGAUCAUAAAGAUCCUCUAGACCAAAGUAAAGAUUGGCUCUUACUCCAAGUAAAUAGAGAGGUUUUGCAAGAUUCUAAGUGGAAAAGUGACAUGAUCUGACUUUAGGUUUAGUAAGAUCUCAUUAGCUGCAAUGUGAAAAUAUACUGUGGAGGGGAAGGAUAUAGGAAAGGGUAGAAGCCAAGAGACCAGUUUGUGGGCUACUGUUUAAAUAAAGGUGAGACAUGAUUAUAAACUCAGUAUAUCCUAAAUACAAUACUUAAUUUCUCACCACUGCCCCAGCCUCAGUCAAAAUAACUCUUUCUGCAGGCUUCUGUAUCUCAGGAAAUAAGCACCUUCAUUUUUCCCAGCAUUCAGGUCAAAAACUUUUGGUUCAUUUGGAAUCAUUCAGAGAUAAAAGCACAGAGAAGCUUCUUGAUAUAUAGAUAUUAAUACAGGUUUUUCCUGCAGCCCAGUUGAAGCCCUGUCUUUCUCAGUUUUUUGUUUGUUUGUUUAGCCAUUGUUACAAUUAUGCUUGAAGAUAUAAUAUUCUCCCAAUAAAUCCUCUAUGCCAAAGCUAAUUCACACCAGUUUUAUGUCAUCAGAAGACAUUUGGUCACCAAAGUGUUUAUAAUUAUAUGCAAUUACAGGUCACUAAUCUUGCUGACUGGAAAUAAAAUCUAGUUUCUAUUAAUUAUUCAUUUUGCAAGUAAUUAUUAAGUGCCUACUCUGUGACAUUUAAUUCAAAUAUUAAAAACGAGCAAUGGCUUGGCUUGUCAUUCUUUAGAAAUGAAAUCUUCAUUAGUACUUUGGAAUUCUGAGUAUAUAAAUAUUACCCCACCAAAGAACCUGAGUUGAGAAAUAUGAGCCCACUUUUGCGUUAUGAGUUGUCAUUGCCUCUUAACUGUGUUAUACUCCUUGCCUGGAGUAUGCUAUAAAGGAAUUGAAAAUCAUCCUUAAAUAGUUUUUCUUUUAUAUUAUCUUCCAUCAUGUUCCAUCCCAAGAGAUUGCAUGUAAUUCCCUGUGCUAUACAGCAGAACAUCAUUGCUUAUCCAUUUUAAAUGUAGUAAUUUGCACCUACAAAUAUAGAUGUGUGUUCCUAUUUCUGUUUUGUAGAUAGGUUCAUUUGUGCCAUAAUACGCUUUUAAAAAACGUGAUUUCCCAACAAAGAGAUGACGGUGAUUACUAAAGUUAUAUUUUAUUUUAUUUUUAAUUUAUUUCAAUUUAAUUUAUUUAUGAUUAUUGCUUUUUGCUUUUUAGGGCUGCGCUUGCAGCAUUUUGGAGGUUCUCAGUCUAGGGAUUGAAUUGGAGCUACAGCUGCCGCCCUAUGCCAGAGCCACAGCAAUGCCAGAUCUGAGUGGUGUCUGUGACUUACGACACAAGCUCAUGGCAUUGCCAGAUCCUUAACUUACUAAGUGGGGCCAGGGAUCAAACCUGUGUCUCAUGGAUACUAGUUUGGUUCAUUAUCACCGAGCUACAUCGGGAAUUCCCCUAAAGUUAUAUUUUAAAGAUUUCAUUACUAUUACUUGCAUUUUUGCAUUUUAUAUCAUAACAGAACAAAUGUAUUUGAAAGGAAUUUAUGUAAUUUAACUUGUGUUUUUUUUUUGUUGUUGUUGUUGUUUUUGUCUUUUGCCAUUUCUUGGGCCGCUCCCGCAGCAUAUGGAGGUUCCCAGGCUAGGGGUCGAAUCGGAGCUGUAGCCACCGGCCUAUGCCAGAGCCACAGCAACGCGGGAUCCGAGCCGCAUCUGCGACCUACACCACAGCUCAUGGCAACGCCGGAUCGUUAACCCACUGAGCAAGGGCAGGGAUCGAACCCGCAACCUCAUGGUUCCUAGUCAGAUUUGUUAACCACUGCGCCACGACAGGAACUCCUAAGUUGUGUUUUUUAAAGUGGUACAUAUCCAAAAAGUCAUACUAACAUCUCUGGGCUAAUACCAGGAGACACCAUGUACACAAAUAUUAUGGUAUGUUCCCUUAACCCUGUAUAGUUCAACAUAGACAAUAUAAAAGUAUAAAUUAAAGUAAGGGAUUCAAAUAAUUAUAACUCUUCACCCGAUUAAUAGGAUGCUUUUCCUUAAAUAUCAAUUUCUUCGUCAAUCAAGUGGGUGGUGUAGCCCAGAGAGAGAUAACUACUUCUGGGAUUAUCUCACUUGUCCUGAAAUCUAGAUAAUUUUCAAAGAACUUAAAAGUAUUAGCUGUCGGAGGAGUAAUUCAACUAGUUUGAAAUUAGGUAAGUAAAAUUCAGGGGAUUAAAAAAGAAAAACAAUUAUUACAAGGUAUGAUUACUAAACUCCAUGUCUGUAUAAUUCUGGAAUUCAAAGAAUUUAGUUUUGCUGAUAUUUUUAAUUCACUUGUGGAUGACUCUACAUUUUCAAAUAAUUUUAAUUCAGCUUUAAAUGAAUAUAGUAUGUUUCCAAAUUUAUUUAACUCCCAAUUGAGAAAUAAUAUGAGGAAAUGAUUAAAAUUUCUUCAUGCUAUCUCAAAGGCACAGAUUACAGACAGAAAAAAAAUAGAUCUCUCUGAAAUGCUAUUCUUCAGCUUACUAAGGGAUACCUCUGAUCAUUAGGACUUGCUUUUUUUGUUUAAAAACUGGAAAGAUUGAUUAGGUUUACGCAUAAUAAUACAUUACCUAAAUUCUUUUUUGUGACUCAAGAGUGACAUAAAUGUCAUAUGCAUUUAAAUAAAGCACAUCUUUACAGGUUAUUCUUCCCCGUUGGGAACACAGUAAUAGUUAUACCUUUCUUUUUUUACUGUUUUAUUAAGAUUAAUAGUCAUAAUCUUUUUAUUCUUCUGUGUUCCGGGAGCAUGAUUUAGGAUGGAAUACAUUUUAUAUAUUUUUAAAUUAAGUACCUAUAAUGAUAUCCAAAUCUUUAUGCCAUCUUAUAUUAAUUUUAUUUAGAGGAACACAUUAAACUAACACAUGUAAACAAUUCAUAAACCAUUUUAAAAUGCUGGGAAUUAAUUUAAUCUAAGCUUUCAUUUUAUCUAUUGCUAUAGAACAUAACACGUGUGUCAUAUUUUUAUUAUCAUUAUUACUCUCACUUUUAUUUUAUAAAAGAACAUUUUACUUUACUUUUUAUGUAGUGGAAUGUAUGAACAACUAGCAGGUAAAAUGAUUUAAAAACACUACAUCAUGGAGUUUCUGGUGGUCUAAUGGUUAGUAUUCAGUGCUUUCACUGCUGUGGCUCAGGUUCAGUCCAUGGUCUGGAAACUGAGAUCCCACAUAAAGCCACUGCACACUGUAGCCUAAAUAAAUAAAUAAAUAACACUACAUCAAUAUAUUUAUUUAAAUCAUAAAGUCCUUAUUUUUUGUCCUAAGAUAAUCUCCAUAUAUUGAUACCAUGCAUGUUUAUAUU
RNAcentral lists this long non-coding RNA (4467 nucleotides) under Sus scrofa (pig). RNAcentral's name for it is "lncRNA (ENSSSCG00000055719.1)". Lineage: Eukaryota; Metazoa; Chordata; Mammalia; Artiodactyla; Suidae. The record is from RNAcentral.